This 371-nucleotide long non-coding RNA is filed under the name Elaeis guineensis (African oil palm). Its description in RNAcentral is "long non-coding RNA (EGUI_LNC040857)". The record is from RNAcentral. Lineage: Eukaryota; Viridiplantae; Streptophyta; Magnoliopsida; Arecales; Arecaceae.
AUUAAAUUAAGUUUUUAAUUGGGUUAAGACCUAUUUUAAUUAGGUUGAUCUAAUUUUGGUUUGAUUUGGUUUGAGAAACCAAAUUAAAACAAGUCAUGAGAUAGAAUCCUAGUAAGACUAGGAUUCCACCUUGCGCCACAUAAGCCUUCCCCACGCCCUCUCUCUUAUUCAAUGCCAAUCUCCUCUUAUUUUGUGUGACAAAAGCCCUCUCUCAGGUCUCUCCCACGUUCACAAAAGGUCUCCUCUCUUCUUUCUUACAUGGAAGGUGGUUUGGAUCAAAUAAAAAAGGAAUAAGUUUGGAUUUCGAAUUCUAUGAGAUAGAGUUUUAGAAAUCCAAAACUCUUUCAAUUUUGCACCAAAUUUAUCCAAUU